This 447-nucleotide ribosomal RNA is filed under the name uncultured bacterium. RNAcentral describes it as "bacterial SSU rRNA". It matches the Rfam family "Bacterial small subunit ribosomal RNA", at positions 331 to 792 of the family's 1533-position model. The record is from RNAcentral.
CCAGACUCCUACGGGAGGCAGCAGUGGGGAAUAUUGGACAAUGGGGGGAACCCUGAUCCAGCGACGCCGCGUGAGUGAAGAAGUAUUUCGGUAUGUAAAGCUCUAUCAGCAGGGAAGAAAGAAAUGACGGUACCUGAGUAAGAAGCACCGGCUAAAUACGUGCCAGCAGCCGCGGUAAUACGUAUGGUGCAAGCGUUAUCCGGAUUUACUGGGUGUAAAGGGAGCGCAGGCGGCACGGCAAGCCUGAUGUGAAAGCCCGCGGCCCAACCGCGGGACUGCAUUGGGAACUACCGGGCUGGAGUGCCGGAGAGGUAGGCGGAAUUCCUAGUGUAGCGGUGAAAUGCGUAGAUAUACGGAGGAACACCAGUGGCGAAGGCGGAUUUCUGGACAGUAACUGACGCUGAGGCGCGAAAGCGUGGGGAGCAAACAGGAUUAGAUACCCCAGUA